This 207-nucleotide ribosomal RNA is filed under the name Salmonella enterica. RNAcentral's name for it is "partial 16S ribosomal RNA". It matches the Rfam family "Bacterial small subunit ribosomal RNA", at positions 366 to 565 of the family's 1533-position model. Lineage: Bacteria; Pseudomonadati; Pseudomonadota; Gammaproteobacteria; Enterobacterales; Enterobacteriaceae. The record is from RNAcentral.
GCACAAUGGGCGCAAGCCUGAUGCAGCCAUGCCGCGUGUAUGAAGAAGGCCUUCGGGUUGUAAAGUACUUUCAGCGGGGAGGAAGGUGUUGUGGUUAAUAACCACAGCAAUUGACGUUACCCGCAGAAGAAGCACCGGCUAACUCCGUGCCAGCAGCCGCGGUAAUACGGAGGGUGCAAGCGUUAAUCGGAAUUACUGGGCGUAAAG